This is a long non-coding RNA of Pantherophis guttatus, 767 nucleotides long. RefSeq lists it as uncharacterized. NCBI's taxonomy places the organism in Eukaryota, Metazoa, Chordata, Lepidosauria, Squamata, Colubridae. The record is from RefSeq and is a predicted model, not a curated record.
UUAAGGUUCGGUACAUCCCUCUGGCCAGAUGCAUUAACAACCAACCAACCAGCCCAACAACUCCAAUCGGACAGAACAUACUGGACAUCUUUUUCCUUUGGCAGACUUAAACCCAGGGAGCUGGAAGGUGUGGGGAACAGAGAGUUCCUGCAGAUGGGGAUAGCUACAGAAUUUUUUAAAAAAUCAAAAAUAUACACAAAUAAAAACAAAACCAAAAAUGAGCAAUUCUUUACUUUUAAAAAAAAGCAGUUGCCUUUUGCGGAAGUAUUCAUGGCUCAUUUAUGGGAAUCUGGAAAUGGACCACAAUUCAAUGAACACUAUGUAGCUUUCCCUUCUUUGUCAAGUAAAGUAUCACCAGCCAAAUCCUCUCUGUCUACUACUUUUUUAAAAAAAAAAGUAAUAAAAAAAGGAUUUAGCUAAUGAAAAACUCCUCCUCUUGAAGCCACUUCAGAGUGGUGGUUGUGGUGAAUAAUAAUUCUGUGUGGAGUCCCAAGGAGAGGGGAGGAAAGGAGCUGGGUGUGCUAUCCAAGCGUGUGGCCUUAAGUGGUUCUUUCUGACGCAUCUACUCAAAAUUCAAAAGCUUUCUGUUGGUGUUUUAUUCUGGUAGUGAAUAUUCCUAAUCGUCAAGGACUGCUGUGACACUCGGGAACUGAGAGUAGCAAUAAGAACCCCACCCAAGACAAUCCACAGUGGAGAUGUGCUUCUUACUCAGUAAAGGAAGCACAGAGACUCUGAGACUUGAAUGAAUGGAACCUCAUUUCACCUGU